GGAUGUGAGUGCAACUGGCUUUGCCAUCUGUCCCCCCAUUGAUCUCCAGGGAUGAUUCAGGUGAUCUGGCUGGCUAGGUGAGCGUCCCCUUCCUCCCUCAGCGUUCCAUGCGCGUCCCUCCCAAAGUCAUGCUCUCGGUGGAAAUGGCUACACUGAAGACAACUAGCAGUACAUAUGCCACAUAGAGACUGUACCUUAUUUUCAUUUCA
RNAcentral lists this small nuclear RNA (209 nucleotides) under Felis catus (domestic cat). Its description in RNAcentral is "7SK RNA". It matches the Rfam family "7SK RNA", at positions 1 to 187 of the family's 331-position model. From Rfam's summary of the family: 7SK was discovered as an abundant small nuclear RNA in the mid-70s but a possible function has only recently been suggested. Lineage: Eukaryota; Metazoa; Chordata; Mammalia; Carnivora; Felidae. The record is from Rfam by way of RNAcentral.